GUGUACACACAUACCACCCUGAAGGUGUCCAGUCUAAUCUGAUCUCAGAAUUUAAGCAGGGUCGGGCCUUUGUUACUAUUUGGAUGGGAGACCAGUAGUUCUUUAACAAGUACAAA
RNAcentral lists this ribosomal RNA (116 nucleotides) under Microtus ochrogaster (prairie vole). Lineage: Eukaryota; Metazoa; Chordata; Mammalia; Rodentia; Cricetidae. The record is from RNAcentral.